GUUUCAAUUCCUUAUGGGUAGGCUACAAAC
Molecule: non-coding RNA, 30 nt
Filed under: Thermoclostridium stercorarium subsp. stercorarium DSM 8532
Lineage: Bacteria; Bacillati; Bacillota; Clostridia; Eubacteriales; Oscillospiraceae
Source: RNAcentral